This 552-nucleotide ribosomal RNA is filed under the name uncultured bacterium. RNAcentral's name for it is "bacterial SSU rRNA". It matches the Rfam family "Bacterial small subunit ribosomal RNA", at positions 97 to 670 of the family's 1533-position model. The record is from RNAcentral.
GGCAGACGGCUGAGUAACACGUGGGAACCUACCCCUAAGUCGUGCAUAGCUCAUCGAAAGAUGGGGUAAUUCGCGAUAGUCCCGUAUCGUAAGAUACAGGGUAAAGAUUUUUCGCUUAGGGAUGGGCCUGCGGCCUAUCAGGUUGUUGGUAAGGUAAUGGCUUACCAAGCCUAUGACGGGUAGCUGGUCUGAGAGGAUGUACAGCCAGAAUGGGACUGUGACACGGCCCAUACUCCUACGGGAGGCAGCAAUUAGGAAUCUUGCGCAAUGGGCGAAAGCCUGACGCAGCGACGCCGCGUGGAGGAUGAAGGUCUUCGGAUUGUAAACUCCUUUUAUUGGGGAACAAGUUCUGAGUGUACCCAAUGAAUAAGGACCCCCUAACUACGUGCCAGAAGGGUCGGUGAUACGUAGGGUCCAAGCGUUAUCCGGAAUUACUGGGCGUAAAGAGAUGCGUAGGCGUUUUCUUAAGUUCUUUGCCAAAUCUUAUGGCUCAACUGUAAGACUGCGAAGAAAACUGGGGAGAUAGAGGAAGUUAGAGGAAAGUGGAAUUCC